AUUGAACGCUGGCGGCAGGCCUAACACAUGCAAGUCGAGCGGAUGAAGGGAGCUUGCUCCUGGAUUCAGCUGCGGACGGGUGUGUAAUUCCUAUGAAUCUGCCUGGUAGUGGGGGAUAACGUCCGUAAACGGGCGCUAAUACCGCAUACGUCCUGAGGGUGAAAGUGGUGGAUCUUCGGACCUCACGCUAUCAGAUGAGCCUAGGUCGGAUUAGCUAGUUGGUGGGGUAAAGGCCUACCAAGGCGACUAUCCGUAACUGGUCUGAGAGGAUGAUCAGUCAAACUGGAACUGAGACACGGACCAGAGACCUACGGGAGGCAGCAGUGGGGAAUAUUGGACAAUGGGCGAAAGCAGGAUCAAGCAAUGCGGCGUGUGUGAAGAAGGUCUUAGGAUUGUAAAGAACUUUAAGUGGGGAGGAAGGGAAGUAAGUUAAUAACUUGAUGUUUUGACGUUAACAACAGAAUAAGCACCGGCUAACUUCGUG
This 484-nucleotide ribosomal RNA is filed under the name uncultured bacterium. Its description in RNAcentral is "partial 16S ribosomal RNA". It matches the Rfam family "Bacterial small subunit ribosomal RNA", at positions 30 to 507 of the family's 1533-position model. The record is from RNAcentral.